GAUUUAAUUUUAUUAAUUUAUUUUAUAUAUAUAUAUAUAUAUAAAUAUUAAAAAUAGUUAUAAAAUAUAAAUUUUUAGUAUUAAUUUAAGAAAAAAUAAUUUUAAUAAUAGUUUAUUAGUAUUGAAAAAGAAAAUUGAAAUAAUAUGAAAAAUUUUAAUUGAAAAAGAAAAAUUUAUAUUUUGUACCUUGUGUAUCAGGGUUUAUUAAAUAUAAUUUAUUUAUAUAUAAAUUUCUCGAUUUUAAAAGAUUUAAUAUAUUAAUAAAUAUAAAGUAAUAAAUUUAUUUUUAAUAAUAUAUUUGAAAUGAAAUGUUUUUCGUUUUUAAAGGUAUCUAGUUUAUUAAGAAAUAAAUUUAAUUUAUAAAUUUUAUAUUAUUUAUUUUAUUUAUAUUAAAUAAAUAAUUAUUUAAUUUAAUUAUUUUAUGGGAUAAGCUAUAAAAUAAAGUUUUAAAAAGUUAUUAUAGUUCAUAAAAUAUAAUCUUAAAAUUAUUCAAUAUUAAAAAAAAUGUAAUAAUUUAUUAUUAUUUAAGAAUAAUUUAUUUAAAUUUAAAUUAUUUAUUAAUAUAUAAUUUUUAAUAUAAUAUAAUUAGAAAUAUUGAUAAAAUUAGUAUAAUAUUUUGUAUAAGUAAAAUUAAAUUAUAAAUUUUAUUAAAGAAUUCGGCAAAUGUAUAUAUUCACCUGUUUAACAAAAACAUCUCUUUAUGAUUAAAUAUAAGGUUUAACCUGCCCACUGAAUUUUUAAAUGGCUGCAGUAUAUUGACUGUACAAAGGUAGCAUAAUCAUUAGUUUUUUAAUUGAAAACUGGAAUGAAUGGUUGGAUGAAAUAUAAACUGUUUCAAUAAAAAUUUAUUAGAAUUUUAUUUUUUAGUAAAAAAGCUAAAAUAAAUUUAAAAGACGAGAAGACCCUAUAAAUCUUUAUAUAAAAUGUAAAUAUUAAUUAUUUAGAAGAUUUUAAAGUAUUUAUAUUUUAUAUUUUAUUGGGGAGAUAGUAAAAUUUAAUAAACUUUUAUAUAAAAUAAUUCAUUAAUUUAUGAAUUUUUGAUUAAUUAUUAAUGAAUAAUAAAAUAAGUUACUUUAGGGAUAACAGCGUAAUUAUUUUGGAGAGUUCAUAUUGAUAAAAUAGAUUGCGACCUCGAUGUUGGAUUAAGAAAAAGAUUAGGUGUAGAAGCUUAAUAAUUAAGUCUGUUCGACUUUUAAAUUCUUACAUGAUCUGAGUUCAAACCGGUGUAAGCCAGGUUGGUUUCUAUCUUUAAAAAAUUAUAAUAUUAUAGUACGAAAGGAUUUAAUAUUAAAUAAAUUAUUAUUAUAUAAAUUGAAUAUUAUUAAUAUUAAAUACUAUUUUGGCAGAUUAGUGCAAUAAAUUUAG
RNAcentral lists this ribosomal RNA (1365 nucleotides) under Nycteribia formosana. RNAcentral's name for it is "16S ribosomal RNA". Lineage: Eukaryota; Metazoa; Arthropoda; Insecta; Diptera; Nycteribiidae. The record is from RNAcentral.